This 106-nucleotide non-coding RNA is filed under the name Paucilactobacillus vaccinostercus. Its description in RNAcentral is "Lactobacillus vaccinostercus TPP sequence". It matches the Rfam family "TPP riboswitch aptamer (THI element)". Rfam says of the family: Vitamin B(1) in its active form thiamin pyrophosphate (TPP) is an essential coenzyme that is synthesised by coupling of pyrimidine and thiazole moieties in bacteria. The previously detected thiamin-regulatory element, thi box was extended, resulting in a new, highly conserved RNA secondary structure, the THI element, which is widely distributed in eubacteria and also occurs in some archaea. The record is from RNAcentral. Lineage: Bacteria; Bacillati; Bacillota; Bacilli; Lactobacillales; Lactobacillaceae. RNAcentral also lists the same sequence under 1 other name.
AUUUGACACUAGGGGUGUUCGGAGAAGAACUGAGACGCGUUUGCGCAACGCGAUCCCUUUGAACCUGUAAGUUCAGACUUGCGUAGGAAAGUGGAAAGUAGGGGGA